RNAcentral lists this ribosomal RNA (253 nucleotides) under uncultured bacterium. RNAcentral describes it as "partial 16S ribosomal RNA". It matches the Rfam family "Bacterial small subunit ribosomal RNA", at positions 524 to 776 of the family's 1533-position model. The record is from RNAcentral.
UACGUAGGGUGCAAGCGUUAAUCGGAAUUACUGGGCGUAAAGCGUGCGCAGGCGGUUUUGUAAGUCUGUCGUGAAAUCCCCGGGCUCAACCUGGGAAUUGCGAUGGAGACUGCAAGGCUAGAAUCUGGCAGAGGGGGGUAGAAUUCCACGUGUAGCAGUGAAAUGCGUAGAUAUGUGGAGGAAUACCGAUGGCGAAGGCAGCCCCCUGGGAUAACACUGACGCUCAUGCACGAAAGCGUGGGGAGCAAACAGG